UUGCUCCUCCUCACCUCCAAAAUAACUCUCAGAAAACUUCCAAAAGCUACCUCCAACCCAGCUCCUGGAGCAGCAGAAGCUAAAAGUGAAGCUGCCAUCUCCUUGAUCAACAAUUUCACACUAUUAGUGAGACGCAAAUAAAUAUGGGAAACAAUUCAUGGGUUUGGUUAAUUUGGAAAAAGGAAAUCUGCCACUCAUUUUAUCAGAAAUUCUCUCACUUUACCUUGGGAACUUCGUUACAGGGGAAAGAAAUAUAAGAGGGGAAAAGAAAAUAAAGGAG
Molecule: unclassified non-coding RNA, 280 nt
Filed under: Hevea brasiliensis (rubber tree)
Lineage: Eukaryota; Viridiplantae; Streptophyta; Magnoliopsida; Malpighiales; Euphorbiaceae
Source: RNAcentral